This is a non-coding RNA of Callithrix jacchus (white-tufted-ear marmoset), 3379 nucleotides long. The record is from RefSeq and is a predicted model, not a curated record. Lineage: Eukaryota; Metazoa; Chordata; Mammalia; Primates; Cebidae.
UAGAAGAAAAUGGAUAUUCAAGUAUGCUAUCUAUCAUAUAUAUUUUCUGAAUCUAUUAAUAUUCACUGAGUGCUUGCUCUAUACCAGGUACUAAACUGGGCACCUUCUAUGUAAAUUUUCUCAUUUACUAGGAGGUAGGUUUUAGUCCCCCAGUUUCCCCAGUGAGAAAAAUGAAGUGAAGAAAAGGCGGCUGACUUACCUAGGCCAAAAAGAUUGCCUUUUAUACAUGAAGUGCCUUUUUGAAGACCUUGCAAAGCUUGACUGAGUUUAUAUAUUUUAAGACUAUUCUCAUAAUAGCAGAUAUUGGGUAUUUCCAUUCACCAGGUAAUGUGAAAAGAUUUCAAUAAAAUCAACACAGUUUAUAAUUCAAUAGGCCCAAACAGCUUUGAAAUUAUGCAGUUCUUGAUCGAUUUGAGAGGAAUUGCAUUAAUUCAAGUUGUUUGCCUUAAAAGUGAUUUAAUACUUUAUAUUCAAUACUUAAUUCAAAAUUGUAUAAAAUGGACCAAACCAGAUCACAUGACUGAGCUAGAGCACCAGUUCCUAACCCCAAUAUCCUAAACUCAAAUCCAGAGUUCUUUCCAUUAUAUGUUCUAACCACCCAUAUUUUCUACAGAACUGAGAAGUAUCCCCUGACAGUCAGGGUGAAUACAGUCAUAGUUAAACUGUAACAGCUGGGGUGGGUGGUAUUCAAGUGUAAAAUCAAUGGAGUACACAAAAGAGAAGAAAAGAAUUGUGAGGUAUGUGUGUUUUUCAAUAGUAUUUGUUUUUUCUUCCCUCUAGCAUGUGGAUUAAAGGACACAGGGACUCUGAAGCGAGGGAGAUUUAUAAAAACCUAGUCUUCUCUCUAAUGGGCUUGGACUGGGGACAGAGAAGCAGGAUUUACCAGCUGUGAGACACAAGAUAGCUGGCUUGAGUAUUCUGACAAUCAACUACCCAAACUCUAGCUACCUCUCUAGGAAUCCUUGCAUUUCUACUCCUACCCCACCAAGGAGUUAGGCCUUGAACAGGUCUCCAACUCUCCAAUUACAUCACCUUGCUGAGACUACAGAAGGCUCCAAACAGCAUAAAGCCUGAAGAAAAGCAAAAGGCAAAUAGUUUCUCAGUAUAAUCACAUUGCUUCACUCCCUCAUAGCACCAGUAGUGGUAACUACGAUAGCCAAGCCCUGAAAUACACUUACCCUGACCUUAGAACCAGCCUGAUCCCUCACAGCUAAUGAGAUGUCCUAGACUUGGCCACUGUAACUCCGAGGAUUCAGAAACUGGUCAACUUUGCAGCUUUAUGGGAUUCUAGGUUUUCUGACGACAUUCAUUCAUCACUCAAAUAUUUAGUCCCUAUCAGGGGCUAUAUUCUGUGCUCUUCCUAGUUCCUGCCCUCAGGGAGCUCACAGUCAACUUAGUAGUAGCAAUGGUAGUGGGGAACAGAAGAGGUGGCAGGAUACAAACUAUAAACAGGCAAUUGCAGUAUAGUAUGAUCAAUGCUACAACAGGAUAAAGACAAAGUGUGAGAUGCUUUAAGAACAUAUAGGAAUGGCACCAAGCCUAGCUCUUGGGAGAAGUAUCACUGAAGUGGCCUACAGUAUAAAUGAACAUCAACUAGAAUAAACAGCAUGAUGAGGAGACAGAACGUAUCAAGGCAAACAUGUGUAAGUGAGAGUAUGGAAUGUUCAAGGAACUCCGGAUGGGUGACUAUGUUUAGAGUAAGAGUCAAAGGUAAGUAUGGUGAACACCAUUAGGCAGGUGAGGCACAGGCAGAAGCCAGAUCAUGGGAAACCUGUACGUAUGAAGACCUACCAGUCUAAAGAGUUUGGGCUUUAUUCCACUGGCAAUGGCAAGCCACUGAAUAUUAGAAGUAAGGCAUGUUUAGAUUUGCACUGGAGGAAGAUCAUCUUUUGUGGAUCAGCUUGUGAAGAUUAGAAGGUGAAGAGGAGGAGUCAAAGAAGGAAGGAUAGUUAGAAAAUCAGAGCAUCCCAAGCAAGAGAUGACUGUCACGUGGAUGACAGAGGUGGGACAGACAGAUGGAAAUGAUACUGCAGAGAAGACCAAGAAGGAGAAAUAGAAAUAAAAUGCAAAGCGGGUUAUCAUGAAAUCUUCAAGAAGGACGCUCACUGCCUGACCCAUUUGUUUCAUAUUGCAAUGAAAUGCUAAAGAAUUUUAACUCCAUUAGGAAAACAGGAGGGAGCAAUAACUGGGUCUUCAGAGGACCAUGCGCUCUGGUUCCUAAAUCAAAUGUCCGUUUCAAUACAGCUGAGAAGACAGUAAGCAAUGGGGAGGAAAAACCUGACAGAGGGAAGAGGUGGGAGGGUGAAAUGCCCUCCUGUGGAUCCACGAGCACAACAUUCACUGAUUUUCUCCUGGUGAAUUUUAAAUCUGGUAGGUCAUGCCUUUAGUAAGGUCAGUGUUUUCUGGAUUUAAACACACUAAAAGCCAACUGCUACCCCUACCAUGAUGGCAAAUUGACUUACCUUUAAACCUUCAGUCUCCCUUUGGUUAUUUCAAGUUAGCUACAGCUGAAAAGCCUAAAAAUCUAACUCCAGAAUGACCUUCCUUAUUGGAAAUUUCCCUGGCACGCAGCAACAUUACCAAGCCACACAAUCAUAAUAUUGUAGCUCAGCAUGUUAAAGAACAAAAGAGGCAGUGCUGAACAUCUUUGUUCCUGUAAGAAAUCCCUUAAUUGUGGCUACAACUUAUUAAGCAAUAAAGGUAGAGAGGGUUCAGCUAAAAUAAAAAAAGAUUCAUAACAAAACAUGAUGACCUUUGUUGGGUGGGAAGGCAAAGUUCCUUCAUAAUUUAAGCACAUCAGUUACCCGUGCCUGGAGGCAUCAUAAUAAAAUGAUGCUUAAAAUAGUUAACUUAUCCUUACCUGUGACACUAGCCUCAGUAUAGAGCAGCAGUUUUCAAAGCCACAAUGUUCUGGCUGGCUGCUUAUCUCCAACAGGAUUAAUGCUCAAAACAUGGCUCCAUUGUUCUGUCUGUCUGUGCCAGGAGCAAUGUCACUGUUGAUCAUUUAACACAGAAGCUGGCUUAUAAAAGUCGGCCUUCCUAUUGACUUGAUGACAGCCUUUGCUCAUGGCAGUAUCCUAUGGGAAGGUGGUGUACAGAAUUUGAGGGCAGAUUUUCAAACUUUUUGAGAACAUCUAUCCAAUUUUCAAGGCUUUAUUAUCCCAAGAGAGUGAGCAGCUUUUUCCAGGAUGUUUCAUGCUGUUUGAACACUCAAGAUAAAAUAAAUAGUGCAAAAAACCUCCUAGACAGUCUGCUAACUUCCUUUCCUAUGCUGUCUUUAACUACCCUUUAAGGUUCGAACUAAAACAAAAAAAAAAAAAAAGAAAAAAAAAUCCUGGCAGCUCUCAGAUCACGUGGGUACAGCUGGUUAUUUCUACCU